UACGUAGGGAGCGAGCGUUAUCCGGAUUUAUUGUGUGUAGAGGGUGCGUAGAUGGAUAAACAAGUUGGUUGUGAAAUCCCUCGGCUUAACUGAGGAAUUGCAACCAAAACUGUAGAUCUUGAGUACUGGAGGGGAAAGCGGAAUUCCUAGUGUAGCGGUGAAAUGCGUAGAUAUUAGGAAGAACACCGGUGGCGAAGGCGGCUUUCUGGACAGAAACUGACAUUGAGGCACGAAAGUGUGGGGAGCAAACA
Molecule: ribosomal RNA, 251 nt
Filed under: uncultured bacterium
Lineage: Bacteria
Description: partial 16S ribosomal RNA
Rfam family: Bacterial small subunit ribosomal RNA
Source: RNAcentral